ACGGAAGGCAGCAGUGGGGAAUAUUGCGCAAUGGGGGGAACCCUGACGCAGCAACGCCGCGUGAAGGAUGAAGGUCUUCGGAUUGUAAACUUUUGUCUUUGGUGACGAACAAUGACGGUAGCCAAGGAGGAAGCCACGGCUAACUACGUGCCAGCAGCCGCGGUAAUACGUAGGUGGCAAGCGUUGUCCGGAUUUACUGGGUGUAAAGGGCGUGUAGACGGGAUGGUAAGUCAGAUGUGAAAUACCGCAGCUUAACUGCGGGGCUGCAUUUGAAACUAUCGUUCUUGAGUGCGGGAGAGGAAAGCGGAAUUCCUAGUGUAGCGGUGAAAUGCGUAGAUAUUAGGAGGAACACCAGUGGCGAAGGCGGCUUUCUGGACCGUAACUGACGUUGAGGCGCGAAAGCGUGGGUAGCAAACAGGAUUAGAUACCCUGGUA
This 435-nucleotide ribosomal RNA is filed under the name uncultured Oscillospiraceae bacterium. RNAcentral describes it as "bacterial SSU rRNA". It matches the Rfam family "Bacterial small subunit ribosomal RNA", at positions 341 to 792 of the family's 1533-position model. Lineage: Bacteria; Bacillati; Bacillota; Clostridia; Eubacteriales; Oscillospiraceae. The record is from RNAcentral.